GGGCCUAUGAAACAGACAGCCCCUCUCCCUCCCGGGCGGUCCAUCCACACCAGCCAGAGAGAGUGAGAAGUGAUUCCAUUCAAGAAGCAAAGGUCGCUCCUAUUAGUCAGGAGAGAGGGAUGUUUGGUACGUUCAGGGUUUGUACUGUGACCUUGUUUGUUGUCUGCAUUUAUUUAUUUUAAAGAUUUUAUUUAUUUAUUUGACAGAGAUAGAGACAGGCAGCGAGAGAGGGAACACAAGCAGGGGGAGUGGGAGAGGAAGAAGCAGGCUCAUAGCGGAGGAACCUGAUGUGGGGCUCGAUCCCAUAACGCCGGGAUCACGCCCUGAGCCGAAGGCAGGCGCUUAACCGCUGUGCCACCCAGGUGCCCCUGUUGUCUGCAUUUAGAGAAAAUUGUGAAAUGGGCUUUUUUUUUUUUUUUGUCUUACCCUAUUAGGACCAAAGAGUGCCCUUGACUGAUGUUUGUGUCCUAUGAGAUUGGAUUGUUGUUGUUUUUAAGAUUUUAUUUAUUCAUUUGAAAGAAAGAGUGAGAGAAGGAGCAUGAUGGGGGGGGGGGCGCAGAGAGAGAGAGAGGGAGAAGCUGAACAGGGAGACCAAUGCAGGGCCAAUCCCAGGACCCCAGGAUCAUGACCUGAGCUGAAGUCAGAUCCUUAAUUGACUGAGCCCCCCGGGCGCCCCUGUGAGAUUGUUUCUGUCCCACAAGAGAAGAGCACUGCCUGGCCAGGAUCUCAAGAGCUCGUUUUCCCUUUUCCAGUACGUCUCUGUUCCUACAAAUUCUUGCUAAGCACCACCCACUGUGGGGGGUUCAAUCAAUAGAAGGGUAUCCUCUCACAGUUCUGGAAGCUGCGAGUCUGAAAUCACGGGGUGGACGGGGCUGUGUUCUCUCCGAAGGCGCUACAGGGAAGGAUCCUCCCUCACCUUUUCCAGCCUCUGGUGGCGGCCAGCCACGCCUGGCUCGUGAUGUCAUCCCUGCCCUCCCUGACUCUGUCUUCACAUGGAGCUGCGACUCUGGAGCAAAGAGAGGCACUGGAUGAACAUUGCAGAAUGAAGGCAGGCGUGGGGAUAAGGACAGCUGCAUCCCUUCCAACUGCCAGAGCCCACCCGCCGCACUCUGCUCGAGGAGCUGUAUUCCUGGCCAGGGUGUCCAUCUUCAGCAAACGAGAUCCUCCCGUUGACACGGGACCAGGAAGAAACCUGGGCCUCGAUGGUCGGAUGGAGCAGAAUCCGCUCGUGGCGGGGCAUGCGCGCCACCUGGCGGCCGAGUUCCGCCAACACAGCGCCACCCGGAGACCAGAAAGGUUUGCUCUGGGUGAGACGGGAUUGCGUCUGAAAGGGAAAUGCUCUCCGGAGUGUUCCCGGCUGUGA
This 1363-nucleotide long non-coding RNA is filed under the name Ursus maritimus (polar bear). RNAcentral's name for it is "lncRNA (ENSUMAG00000007304.1)". Lineage: Eukaryota; Metazoa; Chordata; Mammalia; Carnivora; Ursidae. The record is from RNAcentral.